UACAGAGGGUGCGAGCGUUAAUCGGAAUUACUGGGCGUAAAGCGCACGUAGGCGGCUAUUCAAGUCAGAGGUGAAAGCCCGGGGCUCAACCCCGGAACUGCCUUUGAAACUAGAUAGCUAGAAUCUUGGAGAGGUCAGUGGAAUUCCGAGUGUAGAGGUGAAAUUCGUAGAUAUUCGGAAGAACACCAGUGGCGAAGGCGACUGACUGGACAAGUAUUGACGCUGAGGUGCGAAAGCGUGGGGAGCAAACAGG
This 253-nucleotide ribosomal RNA is filed under the name uncultured bacterium. Its description in RNAcentral is "partial 16S ribosomal RNA". It matches the Rfam family "Bacterial small subunit ribosomal RNA", at positions 524 to 776 of the family's 1533-position model. The record is from RNAcentral.